AUUGAACGCUGGCGGCAGGCCUAACACAUGCAAGUCGAGCGGAUGAAGGGAGCUUGCUCCUGGCUUCAGCGGCGGACGGGUGAGUAAUGCCUAGGAAUCUGCCUGGUAGUGGGGGAUAACGUCCGGAAACGGGCGCUAAUACCGCAUACGUCCUGAGGUAGAAAGUGGGGGAUCUUCGGACCUCACGCUAUCAGAUGAGCCUAGGUCGGAUUAGCUAGUUGGUGGGGUAAAGGCCUACCAAGGCGACGAUCCGUAACUGGUCUGAGAGGAUGAUCAGUCACACUGGAACUGAGACACGGUCCAGACUCCUACGGGAGGCAGCAGUGGGGAAUAUUGGACAAUGGGCGAAAGCCUGAUCCAGCCAUGCCGCGUGUGUGAAGAAGGUCUUCGGAUUGUAAAGCACUUUAAGUUGGGAGGAAGGGCAGUAAGUUAAUACCUUGCUGUUUUGACGUUACCAACAGAAUAAGCACCGGCUAACUUCGUG
Molecule: ribosomal RNA, 484 nt
Filed under: uncultured bacterium
Lineage: Bacteria
Description: partial 16S ribosomal RNA
Rfam family: Bacterial small subunit ribosomal RNA
Source: RNAcentral